CUCGCCUGCAUGAAGUCGGAAUUGCUAGUAAUCGUAGGUCAGCAUACUACGGUGAACACGUUCCCGGGCCUUGUACACACCGCCCGUCAAACCAUGAGAGUUGGCAACACCCGAAGUCGGUAGUCUAACCGCAAGGAGGACGCCGCCGAAGGUGGGGUUGAUGAUUAGGGUUAAGUCGUAACAAGGUACC
This 190-nucleotide ribosomal RNA is filed under the name uncultured bacterium. Its description in RNAcentral is "partial 16S ribosomal RNA". It matches the Rfam family "Bacterial small subunit ribosomal RNA", at positions 1311 to 1500 of the family's 1533-position model. The record is from RNAcentral.